This 448-nucleotide ribosomal RNA is filed under the name uncultured bacterium. Its description in RNAcentral is "partial 16S ribosomal RNA". It matches the Rfam family "Bacterial small subunit ribosomal RNA", at positions 354 to 796 of the family's 1533-position model. The record is from RNAcentral.
GUGGGGAAUAUUGCGCAAUGGGCGAAAGCCUGACGCAGCGACGCCGCGUGAGGGAUGAAGGUUUUCGGAUCGUAAACCUCUGUCAGAAGGGAAGAAACUACAUUGUGCUAAUCAGCAGUGUACUGACGGUACCUUCAAAGGAAGCACCGGCUAACUCCGUGCCAGCAGCCGCGGUAAUACGGAGGGUGCAAGCGUUAAUCGGAAUUACUGGGCGUAAAGCGCACGUAGGCUGUAGUGUAAGUCAGGGGUGAAACCCACGGCUCAACCGUGGAACUGCCUUUGAUACGGCACAACUUGAAUCCGGGGGAGGGUGGCGGAAUUCCAGGUGUAGGAGGGAAAUCCGUAGAUAUCGGGGGGAACAUCAGUGGCGAAGGCGGCCACCUGGACCGGUAUUGACGCUGAGGUGCGAAAGCGUGGGAGCAAACAGGAUUAGAAACCCGUGUAGUCC